GCGUGAGUGAUGAAGGCCUUAGGGUUGUAAAGCUCUUUCGGCGGGGACGAUGAUGACGGUACCCGCAGAAGAAGCCCCGGCUAACUUCGUGCCAGCAGCCGCGGUAAUACGAAGGGGGCAAGCGUUGUUCGGAAUUACUGGGCGUAAAGGGCGCGCAGGCGGCGGACGUAGUCAGGCGUGAAAGCCCCGGGCUUAACCUGGGAAUUGCGUUUGAUACUCGUCUGCUGGAGUUCGGGAGAGGUUGGUGGAAUUCCCAGUGUAGAGGUGAAAUUCGU
Molecule: ribosomal RNA, 275 nt
Filed under: uncultured bacterium
Lineage: Bacteria
Description: partial 16S ribosomal RNA
Rfam family: Bacterial small subunit ribosomal RNA
Source: RNAcentral